Long non-coding RNA from Mesocricetus auratus (golden hamster), 544 nucleotides. RefSeq lists it as uncharacterized. The transcript is spliced from 4 exons. The record is from RefSeq and is a predicted model, not a curated record. NCBI's taxonomy places the organism in Eukaryota, Metazoa, Chordata, Mammalia, Rodentia, Cricetidae.
UGUCCGAGAACGUGCGGAGGGUGUCGGGGAUUGACAACACAGAGACUCGUUCAACGAUAUAAACUCUCCCAGGGAGCAGCUGCUGGAGGACUAUUAGGUCACAGCCUGGGGCAGAAGCUGCUCCCAGGCUCAGCGUGGACCUUUGGCCUCUUUUCCUGGACUGGGCUCUUUCCUAGAAUGCUCGUGAGGUGUCAGCAUGCUUAAGUACUGCGUGGGGAGAUGACUCGGCAGUUAUGAGCACUUGUUGCUCUUGCAGAAGACCCAGCUUGGUUCCAGGACCGUGCCCAGGCUUAUAACCUUGUGUGACUCCAGUUCCAGGGGAUCCUGCUCCCCCUUCUGGCCUCCUUGGGCACCGGGUGAACAGACUAGCGUGCAGACAAAACACCCUUACUCGCAGCUGUCUCCUAAAAAAGAAAGAAAGAAAGAAAGAAAGAAAGAAAGAAAGAAAGAAAGAAAGAAAGAAAAUAUUCCAAAUGACCUAUAACAGCAGUCUAAACCAUUUGAAAGUCCUGCUUGGCAUGAAUAAUAAAUAAUAAUAAAUGGC